RNAcentral lists this transfer RNA (73 nucleotides) under Streptococcus pneumoniae. RNAcentral's name for it is "tRNA-Val". It matches the Rfam family "tRNA". From Rfam's summary of the family: Transfer RNA (tRNA) molecules are approximately 80 nucleotides in length. Their secondary structure includes four short double-helical elements and three loops (D, anti-codon, and T loops). Lineage: Bacteria; Bacillati; Bacillota; Bacilli; Lactobacillales; Streptococcaceae. The record is from RNAcentral.
GGGAGUUUAGCGCAGCUGGGAGAGCAUCUGCCUUACAAGCAGAGGGUCAGCGGUUCGAUCACGUUAACUCCCA